This 2080-nucleotide long non-coding RNA is filed under the name Brassica napus (rape). RNAcentral describes it as "long non-coding RNA (BNAP_LNC003021)". Lineage: Eukaryota; Viridiplantae; Streptophyta; Magnoliopsida; Brassicales; Brassicaceae. The record is from RNAcentral.
UGAAACCAGUGAUCGAUUCAACGCAUUCAAAGCAAGCGAAAUCCAAAGCGACGAGGAAGAAGAUGACAAGCCAAUCUCAUUCUACAUGAGACGGAUCGAGGGUGCUGAUGGAAAAACCGACAACCUUGAAAGUCUGGCUAAUACAAGCAAUAAUAGUUUACACAGGGGAAAAUCAGGAGCUGGGUAUGCAGAAGAGCAUCAGCUGUUUCCUGCUUCGUUUAAGAUGUGUGACCUAAAUUUAGGGGGAGCGGCGGAUGCUAAUGAUGGCAAAAGAGAAUCUGGUCAAGCUGUUGGUUUUGAUCUAUCAAUCAGCAGUUCUAGCAAGUCUCUUGAUUUCAGUACUAAUACUAGGAUGAGCAAUGGUAAAGAGAUAGAAGUGAUUGAUUUGGACAAUGAUGAUUCCCCAGAAGUGGUCAAGUCCAGCAACAACCCUGGGCGAAAGUACUGCUAUGUCCCUAUCUACACCUAUAUACACACAUGUUUUAAAUAUAUAUUGGCUAAUGAGUUGUUGACUGAAACAUUUAACAGGCAAGAAGUUUGUGGAUGUUUUGGCUCCUGCCGCUGAUAAAAGGAGGUAUGUCGAUGGGUAUAACUCAGCUGGCUCUAGGAACAAUUUGGGAGGAAAGAGGUCUAAUCGUUAUGAAUCGGAUUUUGGGAGGAGUGGAUCUUGGUCUGAGAGGAGUAAAGGUUACGAGGCCGAGACUGGUGACGACUCUGUGUCUGGGCAUAGAGAAGAGCAGCCGCUAGUUGAAGAUAUUGCUAGCUCGGUUCAGAGGUCAGCCUCUGGUGAAUUUAUGAGAAAGCGUGAAGGAGCGGGUGAUUCCGAGUCUGUGUUGGACAAGGAUGAGGCACAGUCUAAGACAGGUUCCUCCAGUGCUGGGAAAGAAAUUGUACAGGAUUGUGAGAUCUCAAAAGUGUCCGAAGGUUCUUGUAGCUUGAGUGCUGGAUCAGGGGAGGUGAAAGGGAUGACUGGUGGUAGUGGUGGAGAGAAUGAGAGCCAGACUGCUAUCGAAGAUGCGUCUAUCCAUCAACAUGAGGAAGAUGCACCUAUCCAUCGACAUUGUGCUGCUGAUGAAUCGUUCACCGAGAGUGGUAUUGAUUUGGCAACGCUGUGUAAGUUUGAGAAGGUGCCUACGAGGACGCGCUCUUCUGUGACUGCUAAAAACACCAAGCUGCAUCUGAGUCAAAAUAUCAAGGAAACCUCUCGUAAUCCUGGAAUUCUAGAAGAAGAUCAAGCAUGUGAGACUCGAGGCAAGUCAUCUGGAGCUGAUAGUACUGGGGAUGAAAAUUUGAACGACCAAGUUGAAGAUUUGCCUCUUGUUCAGUUCGUUGAGGACAGUAAAUGCCAUAGGUCUAAUUCUUUCCCCAAUAGCAUUCUCAGGGAAAAUAACGAGAAAGAUUCAGAGUUAGAAUUGGCUGAUAUCCAUAGAUCAUAUUCGAUGGGGAAAGGAGGCGAGAAGCGAGCUAAUGAAGGCAGUGACUUGGAAGAGGAAGCAAAAAGACAGAAAAGUUGGGUGCCUCUGCCAGUUUCUGAAACCAGUGAUCGAUUCAACGCAUUCAAAGCAAGCGAAAUCCAAAGCGACGAGGAAGAAGAUGACAAGCCAAUCUCAUUCUACAUGAGACGGAUCGAGGGUGCUGAUGGAAAAACCGACAACCUUGAAAGUCUGGCUAAUACAAGCAAUAAUAGUUUACACAGGGGAAAAUCAGGAGCUGGGUAUGCAGAAGAGCAUCAGCUGUUUCCUGCUUCGUUUAAGAUGUGUGACCUAAAUUUAGGGGGAGCGGCGGAUGCUAAUGAUGGCAAAAGAGAAUCUGGUCAAGCUGUUGGUUUUGAUCUAUCAAUCAGCAGUUCUAGCAAGUCUCUUGAUUUCAGUACUAAUACUAGGAUGAGCAAUGGUAAAGAGAUAGAAGUGAUUGAUUUGGACAAUGAUGAUUCCCCAGAAGUGGUCAAGUCCAGCAACAACCCUGGGCGAAAGUACUGCUAUGUCCCUAUCUACACCUAUAUACACACAUGUUUUAAAUAUAUAUUGGCUAAUGAGUUGUUGACUGAAACAUUUAACAGGCAAGAAGUUUCCCCCUAUAU